AGGGAAGUAGCUUAGAUGGUAGAGUGCUUGUUUUGCAUGCAAGAGGAAUGGGGUUCAGUACACUGCAUCCCCA
Molecule: transfer RNA, 73 nt
Filed under: Nelumbo nucifera (sacred lotus)
Lineage: Eukaryota; Viridiplantae; Streptophyta; Magnoliopsida; Proteales; Nelumbonaceae
Rfam family: tRNA
About the family: Transfer RNA (tRNA) molecules are approximately 80 nucleotides in length. Their secondary structure includes four short double-helical elements and three loops (D, anti-codon, and T loops).
Source: Rfam by way of RNAcentral